RNAcentral lists this small RNA (121 nucleotides) under Marmota monax (woodchuck). Lineage: Eukaryota; Metazoa; Chordata; Mammalia; Rodentia; Sciuridae. The record is from RNAcentral.
GCUGGGCAUGUGCACGCCUGUAAUCCCAGCAGCUCAGGAGGCUGAGGCAGGAGAAUCAUGAGUUCAAAGCCAGCCUCGGCAAAAGUGAGGCACUAAGCAAUCCAGUGAGACCCUGUCUCUA